GUCAGGAUGGCCGAGCGGUCCAAGGCGCGCUGUGUCCAGUCGCAGUCUCCACUGGAGGCGGGGUUCGAAUCCCACUUCUGACA
Molecule: transfer RNA, 83 nt
Filed under: Perca fluviatilis (European perch)
Lineage: Eukaryota; Metazoa; Chordata; Actinopteri; Perciformes; Percidae
Description: tRNA-OTHER
Rfam family: tRNA
About the family: Transfer RNA (tRNA) molecules are approximately 80 nucleotides in length. Their secondary structure includes four short double-helical elements and three loops (D, anti-codon, and T loops).
Source: RNAcentral